Molecule: ribosomal RNA, 272 nt
Filed under: uncultured Alphaproteobacteria bacterium
Lineage: Bacteria; Pseudomonadati; Pseudomonadota; Alphaproteobacteria
Description: partial 16S ribosomal RNA
Rfam family: Bacterial small subunit ribosomal RNA
Source: RNAcentral
GAGUUUGAUCAUGGCUCAGAACGUACGCUGGCGGCACGCCUAACACAUGCAAGUCGAACGAAGUAGCAAUACUUAGUGGCAGACGGGUGAGUAACAUGUAGGUAUCUACCCUUUGGCCUGGAAUAACACGAGGAAACUUGUGCUAAUACCGGAUAAGUCUUUACGGAGAAAGCUUUAUGCACCAAUGGAUGAGCCUGCACUUGAUUAGUUAGUUGGUAAGGUAAUAGCUUACCAAGACUUUGAUCAAUAGCUGAUUUGUAGAGGAUGAUCAG